Molecule: small nuclear RNA, 95 nt
Filed under: Meriones unguiculatus (Mongolian gerbil)
Lineage: Eukaryota; Metazoa; Chordata; Mammalia; Rodentia; Muridae
Source: RNAcentral
CCUCUUACGAAGGGCACACUGGACUGAUACAGAGAAGAGUCGCAUAGCCCCUAAGCAAGAAUGACAUGGAAAUCUGUGAAGGGUUCCAUAUAGAA